This 319-nucleotide long non-coding RNA is filed under the name Bos taurus (domestic cattle). RNAcentral's name for it is "long non-coding RNA NONBTAT018707". The record is from RNAcentral. Lineage: Eukaryota; Metazoa; Chordata; Mammalia; Artiodactyla; Bovidae.
GUUUUAGAGGGCAUGAAAUAUGUCAAACAUGUCAUUUGAAGAACAUCUGUGAGUUUGCAUGUUAUGUGCUAUUCUUAUUUUUGUUUUCAAUGUUAAUAGUAUGUAGUUCCUUUAUUUGUAGAUCUUAAUUUCUUGGUUCAUUUAAAUUUUAAGAAAAUCAAUACAUAUAUAGUAGUAACCUUAAGAAAAAAUAAAAUGAGCAAAAAAUUUUUGAAUAUAAAUCUAUUCCAUUGUAUUUGGUAUAUUUAUUCCUUUAUGGUUAUUAUCACCCAUAUAUUUCAUUGAGUCCAACAUUAUGUUAAAUGAAUUGUCUUUUUAU